Molecule: transfer RNA, 72 nt
Filed under: Sus scrofa (pig)
Lineage: Eukaryota; Metazoa; Chordata; Mammalia; Artiodactyla; Suidae
Rfam family: tRNA
About the family: Transfer RNA (tRNA) molecules are approximately 80 nucleotides in length.
Source: Rfam by way of RNAcentral
UUCCUGGUGGUCCAGUGGGUAGGACUCAGUGCUUUCACCGUUGCAGCCCAGGUUCAAUCCCUGAUCUGGGAA